CGCAUCUGUGCAUGCAGCAUAUCAAUAAGCGGAGGAAAAGAGGGCUAUUACCUACGCUUAGGAUGUUGACGCGCGUGUGUGCGUGAUCUAUACAUGACUCUGCAGCAUAUCAAUAAGCGGAGGAAAAGAAACUAACAAGGAUUCCCUUAGUAACGGCGAGUGAAGCGGGAAGAGCUCAAAUUUGAAAUCUUCAAGGUUUUACCUUGACGAAUUGUAGUUUAAAGAAGUGUUUUCUGUUGAAGUUUUGGUAAAAGUUCUUUGGAAUAGGACAUCAUAGAGGGUGAGAAUCCCGUAUUUGACCAUUAUUUUCAGCUGUGUGAUACACUUUCAAAGAGUCGGAUUGUUUGGGAAUGCAGUCCAAAAUGGGUGGUAAAUUUCAUCUAAAGCUAAAUAUUGGCGAGAGACCGAUAGCGAACAAGUACCGUGAGGGAAAGAUGAAAAGAACUUUGAAAAGAGAGUUAAACAGUACGUGAAAUUGUCAAAAGGGAAGCGUUUGACACCAGUGUUGUUUUCUCGAAAAUCAAUUAAAAAGAGUUUGAUUUUGUUGUGUAUUGACCUUAACAGCUUGCAUUUCAAUUUUCUUGCUUUUUUUAAUGCACUUUUCGUUUAACAAGUCAACAUCAGUUUCUUUUGUUGUAAAAAGGUCAUUGGAAGGUGGCUUUCUUUUCGGAGAAAGUGUUUAUAGCCUUUGACUCCUGCAAUCGGAGAGACUGAGGUCUGCAGCGUAGAUCCUUCGGGGUUAGAUACAUUUGUGCUAAGUUAUAGCUUUUUAUAGACAACUUGUUGACUAUGAUUAGUCUUGUAGCUUACUCGCUUAUGCUAUUUUACCUACGCUUAGGAUGUUGACGCGCGUGUGUGCGUG
This 862-nucleotide ribosomal RNA is filed under the name uncultured Neocallimastigales. RNAcentral describes it as "partial large subunit ribosomal RNA". It matches the Rfam family "Eukaryotic large subunit ribosomal RNA", at positions 1 to 639 of the family's 3401-position model. The record is from RNAcentral. Lineage: Eukaryota; Fungi; Neocallimastigomycota; Neocallimastigomycetes; Neocallimastigales.